CCCUUAGACGUUCUGGGCCGCACGCGCGCUACACUGACCAGUGCAACAAGCAUCCGUCCUUGGCCGACAGGCCCGGGCAAUCUUUGAACGCUGGUCGUGAUGGGGAUAGACUUUUGCAAUUUUUGGUCUUCAACGAGGAAUUCCUAGUAAACGCAAGUCAUCAACUUGCAUUGAUUACGUCCCUGCCCUUUGUACACACCGCCCGUCGCUACUACCGAUUGAAUGGCUCAGUGAGGCCUUCGGACUGGCUCGGGGAGGUUGGCAACGACCACCCCAAGCCGGAAAGUUCGUCAAACUCGGUCAUUUAGAGGAAGUAAAAGUCGUAACA
This 328-nucleotide ribosomal RNA is filed under the name uncultured eukaryote. RNAcentral describes it as "partial 18S ribosomal RNA". It matches the Rfam family "Eukaryotic small subunit ribosomal RNA", at positions 1470 to 1796 of the family's 1831-position model. The record is from RNAcentral.